CCAGGCCCACAACCCGUCAGAUUUUUUGAACCUUAAAGAGCUAACCUUAGACUUCAUCUUCUUCCUCAACCAUAAGAGAACAAGACAAGGAGAUAUGGAGUUAACCCUAAUUACUUAGUCUUUUUCUUCACCUUGACAAAAACCCCAGGAACUGAACCUAGAAGAACAACCGCCGCCCCCAGCCUUAACUCGUCGGAAACCAGCCGCCGCCGCUUCUUCCUUCGUCUCCACCUUCAGCACAACAAAACCUAACCUCCAAAAACCCUAAUCCUCUAAGUAGCCGCCCACCAUAGCGAAACCCUAAGAGCCCAGCAGCCGUCUUUUUCUUCGGCCUCACUGGCGCAACAACUGAACCCUAUCCCCCUUAACCAAAACUGCCGGACCAUCUCAACUCACACCCGCCGCCCCAGCCUCUAACCAGCCAGACCUGUUUCCAGAACCAGCCGCCAGCCUUAACCCGCCGACCAACUGACCCCAACCAGUGACCCCUCACACCAAACAACACACCACCCGUCCUCCUCCACAUGCCACUGCUCCUCCCCUCACACUCUCCUCUCACCCAUCGAUAUCAACACACACACAGUAACAUACAGUAGAGAGUGACGAGAGGAAAAGUUUAGUUCAAAUUCAAUUUCGUCGUUGUCUGUCGCUUUUGGUCUUAGUUAUUUUAUCGAGCUGAACCGUUCUUCUUGAGGUUGUCGAUUAAGGUUUCCGGUGCGAGGAUUUAACAUUCAGUUGAGUUUGUUUUAAUCUUCUUUGUCGUGACUCGGGAAAUCUCGUUUAAUCAAUUUUCGCAUCAUUUUUGGGUUAUUUUAAGCAUGAUUUGUGGUUGUUCAUUAUUAUUGUUGCUAUUGCAAAGUUGUUGGAUUCCAUUUUCAAGUUUCUUAAGCUAUAUUUGGGCGAGUUAUGUUGGUUUCAAACUGUCGAGCGCUGCUAUCCCGUUUGGAAAUUGUUUAGUUGAGCCUUAUCAUUUUUUUGCUUAAGAGCUUUGCCAUCAAGCUCGUAUUGGAAUUUUAGUUGGAGUGUGCUUGGAUUUGUUGACUCGUGUUGGUUCCGGUUCGAGUUCAAGGAUUACGAUCAGCUUAGAUCAAAUUAACGCCGAAAAGGUUCUCGCGCUCGUUGAGGUUCAACUCUUCAGCCUUUACUCAUUUUAUCUAGCUGAAUGUUAAUUGCUUGUUUGGUGAUUUGAUUCUAGGAUUUGUUUAGCUAUUGUUUCCGAUUAUGAGUUUGUUCAUUUAGUUAUCUGUUCAUGUUUACUCGAAUUGGUUAUAAUUGAAUAUGAUUUUAUCACUUUAUAACUUGGGUUGUUGGAUAAAAAGUAAAAGAAAUUUAGGUUCAAAAUAGUAAUAUUACCCUUUUAUUCUUGUUUUAUUUAUUUUGAAGUCGUCAGGAGCAUUCUUAGGCCGUCAUCACUUGGGUAGGCAAGCCUUAGGAUUUUUGGUUGUUUCGCAGCGAGAGGUUGUUCCUUUAGUUAAUUUUAUCGGGGGAAUUCCCUGAAGGAUUUGUAUAUAUUUUUAUCGAGGGUAUGCCCCAAAGUACUUGUAUUUGGAGGCCUAAAGUGGAACUCAUGGUAUUUUUAUUUUAUUUUUAUUUUUAUUUUUCUUUCAUUAGACGGGAACGACCUCGAGCCUCCUUCGUGUUUGGUUUCCCCUUUUCAGUGUUUAUUACCUUAAUU
RNAcentral lists this long non-coding RNA (1675 nucleotides) under Nicotiana benthamiana. Its description in RNAcentral is "long non-coding RNA (NBEN_LNC033499)". Lineage: Eukaryota; Viridiplantae; Streptophyta; Magnoliopsida; Solanales; Solanaceae. The record is from RNAcentral.